Molecule: ribosomal RNA, 328 nt
Filed under: uncultured Terrimonas sp.
Lineage: Bacteria; Pseudomonadati; Bacteroidota; Chitinophagia; Chitinophagales; Chitinophagaceae
Description: bacterial SSU rRNA
Rfam family: Bacterial small subunit ribosomal RNA
Source: RNAcentral
UGCGUAGGUGGGUUGGUAAGUCAGUGGUGAAAUCUCCGAGCUUAACUUGGAAACUGCCAUUGAUACUAUCAAUCUUGAAUACCGUGGAGAUGAGCGGAAUAUGUCAUGUAGCGGUGAAAUGCUUAGAUAUGACAUAGAACACCAAUUGCGAAGGCAGCUCGUUACACGAAUAUUGACACUCAGGCACGAAAGCGUGGGGAUCAAACAGGAUUAGAUACCCUGGUAGUCCACGCCCUAAACGAUGGAUACUCGACAUACGCGAUACACAGUGUGUGUCUGAGCGAAAGCAUUAAGUAUCCCACCUGGGAAGUACGAUCGCAAGAUUGAA